RNAcentral lists this ribosomal RNA (195 nucleotides) under Clostridium botulinum C/D. RNAcentral's name for it is "partial 23S ribosomal RNA". Lineage: Bacteria; Bacillati; Bacillota; Clostridia; Eubacteriales; Clostridiaceae. The record is from RNAcentral.
GAAGGAAGACCGGAAGGAGGGGGGGAAAGGAAAGAAGGGAGAAGGAGGGAAGAAGGAGAGAAAAAAAAGGGAGAAGAGGGGGGAAAGAAGAGAGAAGGGGGAAGGGGGAAGGAGAGGAAGAAAAGGGGGAGGAGGGAAAGAAGAAGAGGAAGAAAGGAGUAGGGGAGGGAAAACUGGUUGAUAUUCCAGUACCAC